RNAcentral lists this long non-coding RNA (2403 nucleotides) under Mytilus galloprovincialis (Mediterranean mussel). Lineage: Eukaryota; Metazoa; Mollusca; Bivalvia; Mytilida; Mytilidae. The record is from RNAcentral.
UACCUUCCGUCUCUUUUUCAUCAGUUCACCGACAACUAAUCAUAGAGGGAGUGUGAGACAGGUUACAUCAUUAUGUUAGAAAACAAGCCCAUACCAUCUAUUCGACUAUCAAAUGUAAGUACAGAAAAUCAUAGAAAAUGGCGGUUGUUAAGUUUUAGGAAACAAGGUAUAACUUAAUUGUAGGAGCUUAUUAUACGAACUAUACGAUGACUUUAUUAAAAUUGAUAAAAAAAUACCCAACUGCAACGUUAUACUGUUGCACAUUUUUUCUAUAGAAAAUACAUAUUUCAAAGCAUAAAUUGAAUUCUAGAAGUUAUAAAUGCAUUCUUAUUGAUUGGUGGCCUUCGGAUGUUGUCUGUUUUACGGUCGGGUUGUUGUCUCUUUGACACAUUCCCAUCUUCCAUUAUCAAUUUUAUUUGUAAUACAAAGUCAAAAUUGUUAUUGAUGUCUAGCAAUAUGAAAACACAAUGCAUUACACCAAAUUGCUAAUAACCUUCCGAAGCCAGUGUCACUGAUAUCCGUAUGUAUAGUGUAAUUAACUAUCCUUUAUGUUUCUUUUUUUUUAUUUCAGACUUGAAUGUUUAUGCAAAUUGAAUUGAGUUCUUAAAACUUCGAUUGUAGCACAUUAUAAACGAAGCUCCUAAUAGCAACACUAUGCGUACAUUUAAACAUUUUGCAACCGUUUGAGUUUUCCAAACGAAUGAUAGUUUUACUUCAAUUACAUUAUGUUGUCAUUAUGACUGGGUAUAAUUGUACCUAAGAUUAACAUUAUGAACUGAUAGAUUCAGCAAAUAAAGUAUAAAUCGAUUGGCAUGCAUAAUAAUAAAUAGAACCAUAUGUUUUAAGAUGUUUUUUUCAAAUUCUCACGAAAUGACAGAAAUUAAAGUACGAAUAUUUAGGAUAGCUAAAGAGUAUCAUAGAGGCUAUCCUCAUAAACAUAAUAUACCAGUGUCAAAGUUUUCUUUAUAAGUUUAUUUAUAUUUUCAGAAGUAGAAACAGUCACAUUAGAUGGCAAAAUGAUGAUUAUCAAACUAUAUGAACUGGAGGAUAUUGGAAAAUUCUUUGUCUUUUUUCAUUUUAUGAGUAAAAAGACAAACAAACAAAGUUUCGCAAAGAAAUUAAACAUUCCAGUCUGAAUAUAGUAGCCUAGACAUGGAAAUAAACGACCCUACAAGAAGACAGGUUGAAGUUUAAAAUUAAACAAUGAUGAGUCGUUUAUAAAAGUAAAGAAGAAUAGUUGAAGCUUAAGUAAAGAUGACUGAAUGUUUUUCAAACUAUAUAUGUUGACGCUUCAUCUAAUUUGAUGUUAGUUUAUAUAUAAUGAUUUAAUAUACUCGUUACUUGUAUUUACAGACGAAAACUCUACAAGAAUGAGUAAGGCAGAGAUAUAGACAAAAUUGAAUAUAAAAGCAGUUUCAUAUGAUCAUGUAAAAUAAAUAAGUUAUUUCGAAGAUGUGUGUUAGUUCGCUCAAAUUACUGUAGAUUCGUGUAAUUUGUUUUUUUUUUUAUCGAUCUUCUUGGUUUGUGGAAAACUUGCAUAUUCGUGGAAAUUACAUUUCUUGGUUUUAGCAAAGUCUGCCUAAAAUUCGUAAGGUGUUUUAACUCGUGGUUCCCCUGCGCCCACGAAAAUUCGAAUCCAACGAAUAUUAUUGAAUUAGGAGAUAACUGUAUUGUAUUUUAAGCUCCGACGGCAUCAAUUGGGGAUUUGAUGGUCGCAAAUUAAGUUAACUGGCGACGCGUGAGCGGAGACAGUAAACGGGUAUUAGCGACCAUUAAAUCCCAAACUGAUGCCGUCGGAGCUUAAAAUACAAUAUUGUUAUCUACAUUCUAUGAAACUAACAUAAAACCACGUUAAAACAUGUAAUAAAAAUCUGUCAAAUGCCGUCUGUGCUUGGCGUACGUCCCAUAGCAUCAAUUGUCAAUCCAUGUAAAAAAAGUAACGUUAUCCAAUCAAAAUAAACGGUACAAACGUUGUUGCAUUAGAAUCCACAUUACUCUAUGUUUUUCGAUACAGAUGUAAAGCAACAUGCACAAGUUCCACCAAAUGUUUUUCACAAUAAGGUUGUUUUUUAACAUAAUAGAUGAUAAUGCAAAAUUUAAAAAGCCAUCACUGUUUAACAACAAACUCAACUACAUGUUCAGUACAUAUACUGCUGUCAUUGAUUUCUGUUGAUUGUAUCGCUUCAUUGUCAGGUUAUUCUCUAACCAAGGAAAAUCAAAAAACAAUAUAAGCUAUACUCGUCCGCCUUUUUAUUAAAAAAAACCCACUACCAUACGACGAAUAUUAUAGCAAAACAGAUGAAGACCAACAACUUAUUGAUAUAAGAUAAACUCAUAUUACAUAAAACCCUAUAUUUAAUUGAAAAAAACUAUGUAUUGGUAUAAUAAAAUUUGAAUAACAAC